GAUGAACGCUGGCGGCGUGCCUAAUACACGCAAGUCGAGCGGAUGGAUUAAGAGCUUGCUCUUAUGAAGUUAGCGGCGGACGGGUGAGUAGCACGUGGGUAACCUGCCCAUAAGACUGGGAUAACUCCGGGAAACCGGGGCUAAUACCGGAUAACAUUUUGAACCGCAUGGUUCGAAAUUGAAAGGCGGCUUCGGCUGUCACUUAUGGAUGGACCCGCGUCGCAUUAGCUAGUUGGUGAGGUAACGGCUCACCAAGGCAACGAUGCGUAGCCGACCUGAGAGGGUGAUCGGCCACACUGGGACUGAGACACGGCCCAGACUCCUACGGGAGGCAGCAGUAGGGAAUCUUCCGCAAUGGACGAAAGUCUGACGGAGCAACGCCGCGUGAGUGAUGAAGGCUUUCGGGUCGUAAAACUCUGUUGUUAGGGAAGAACAAGUGCUAGUUGAAUAAGCUGACACCUUGACGGUACCUAACCAGAAAGCCACGGCUAACUACGUGCCAGCAGCCGCGGUAA
This 515-nucleotide ribosomal RNA is filed under the name uncultured bacterium. RNAcentral's name for it is "partial 16S ribosomal RNA". It matches the Rfam family "Bacterial small subunit ribosomal RNA", at positions 28 to 523 of the family's 1533-position model. The record is from RNAcentral.